Cydia splendana is the source of this 508-nucleotide long non-coding RNA. RefSeq lists it as uncharacterized. NCBI's taxonomy places the organism in Eukaryota, Metazoa, Arthropoda, Insecta, Lepidoptera, Tortricidae. The transcript is spliced from 2 exons. The record is from RefSeq and is a predicted model, not a curated record.
GGUGAUAAAUAUUGUCCAUGGAAUGUAUGUACAUGUACAGGUUACCUUUUUGGUAAGGGUAUGCCUGUUACCUACAGACGAAGUAAAUCCUUAUUAUGCAGAACCCGUACAAAAAGCCUUUGGAAGGGAUAGCUAGCUGCGACGCAGAGGAUGGAGAAUUUUUACAACCAGCAAAGAGCGCAAUCUAGCGCCAAUUACGAAGAUGUAUUAUUGAGCAUGCUGCUGCUUAUUAAAUGGAAGAAAAAAUAGUUUUUAUAACCUCAAAAUGUUCCGAGGGGGGCGUAAAGCCAGCAAAUUACAAGGAACGAAAGAUACGGUGCGACGCGCGAAAGUUGCGACGGAAUAUUUGGCGACCGCGCGGAUUUUAACUUGCCACGGGGCACCCUGUACUUUUUGCUACCAAACAUUAUGCCAGUGCAACUUUAUAUAACUUUGGCAGAUUAUUGUUAUGAAUUCGGAUUAUAAUUAUAUGUUUUGCUUUGGCGAAAAAUAAAAAAAUAAAGUAGUU